RNAcentral lists this ribosomal RNA (253 nucleotides) under uncultured bacterium. RNAcentral describes it as "partial 16S ribosomal RNA". It matches the Rfam family "Bacterial small subunit ribosomal RNA", at positions 524 to 776 of the family's 1533-position model. The record is from RNAcentral.
UACGUAGAGUCCGAGCGUUGUCCGGAAUUACUGGGCGUAAAGAGCUCGUAGGUGGUUUGUCGCGUUGUCCGUGAAAACUCACAGCUCAACUGUGGGCGUGCGGGCGAUACGGGCAGACUGGAGUACUGCAGGGGAGACUGGAAUUCCUGGUGUAGCGGUGGAAUGCGCAGAUAUCAGGAGGAACACCGGUGGCGAAGGCGGGUCUCUGGGCAGUAACUGACGCUGAGGAGCGAAAGCGUGGGGAGCGAACAGG